AGAAGGGAGGAAAAGGAGCGGGAGAAAGCGAGCAGGCAGGCAGGCAGUGGCAGCUCUCGCACGCACACCCCCGCCGGAAAAGCAAACACAUCGGUGAAGCCAGAGCCGGGCAGAGAGGGCUGCGGGGCACGCUGGCCGCGGGCUGUGCCGAGGAGCUGGGGGAGCUGGGGGAAGCCAGGUAGGACCGGAGACCACCCAAAAAGCAGGGGGGGGCAUCCGGCUCCCGGCUUCCCCGCUCGCCCCCCCCCCCCGCAUCCCCCUCGAAGCCGCGGAGUCCCCUCCUCCCGGGAGCUGCGGCCCGUCCCCGGGGGACGGCGGCGGCGGCUCCGCGGGGAGCUGGGGAUGGCGGGGGCUCGGCCCGGGCCGCGGGAAACUUCGGCGGGGAGCGGCGGGCCUUGCCCCGGGGCGGGCGGGGGAGCAGCGAGCGGAGUUUGGCGGGCGAGAAAGCGGCAGGCACGGCAGGAGAAGCCGCAGGAGCGGGGCGGGGGGGAGCGGAGGGCGGCGGGACCUCGCGGCUUUCCCCGCGGGCUGCUCUCGCCCGCCAGCCCGGAGCCCCCCUCCCUGCCCCGGCGGCGCUCCGAGCCCUGCCCGCAGCCACAGGCUCCGAGCGAAAGCGAAACGCGGGUCUGCCGGCGGCGGGGCGGCGCGGGCAGCGGGCUGGCACCGGGGGAGGGCGGGAGAGGGGGGGAGCCGAGGCGGCGGGAGGCACCGAGAAGUGGCUGGAGUUGGGAGGAUGCGGCGGCGGCGGCGGCGGCUGCAACUUCGCCGAAAGGACCCGGAGCGAGGCGAGCGCUGCCGGCACCGCGAGGGAUCAGGUUGCGGUAGAAUUACGCUGCGGAGGCGAUCGGGCGUGCGGAGCAAAGUGAGGCGGCGAAGGGAGUGCGAGGGGAUAACCGUGCCCGGGACGGCGGCGGAGAGCCGGAGCGGAGCGCCGGGCGGGAGCCCCCGGGGAGCGAGGAGCUGCCCGCCGCCGUAAGAGACACUUCGCCGGGCAGAGCCGCGGCCGCCCCGGGGAGCGAGGGGCGGGCGGGGGCCGGGGCUCGGCGGGGACCUGUUGGCGAGGCGAGCCCGAGGCGCACCGGCGGAGCUGUCAGGGGCCGGGCCGCUCCGCCGUGCGAUGGUUUCAGCUUCCCGCCAGCCGGCCCCCCAAACACCCCCCGGCUCCGCCCGCCGCCGCUCAGCCCCCCGCUCCCCUCCUUUAUAGAGCGGCGCGGGGAUGCGCCCCGCGGUGCCGGGGCGCGGUGCGGCCGCAGAUGCGGGACGUGGCGGGGGGACCCGGCCGCAGGUGACAACAGCGGCGGCUCCGGGGCUCACGCCGCUCGCAGGGCUGGCUGUGCACAUGUCCCUGCGCGAAACCCACAGAAACGGGCGUGCGUGCUUGUAGCGGAGAUGUAGAUAUAUGUGGGGGUUGAUUUAUAUCUAAUGGCACGUAUAAAGCUUUUGAAGGCGGCUGCAAUGUAAAAAGUAAUGACUUUAUUACCCCUGAAAGGUUCUGCGGUUCGCAGUUAACACUCCUCUGAAUUACAAUUCAUUACGCUCUCUAAAGCCAACCUGCAUCAGAACACCUACCUGUGCUUAUUCCCAGUCACAGGCAUCGUUUCAUUGAUUUUCUUUUAAAAAAUCAUAGCAAAUUAAGCACUUGGUGACAACUAAAUCUGUUUCAUUAUCGUGCCGUGUUUGAGAUUCCAGAGGUGACUUCCCAGACCGCAUCUCAAAACCUACAGUCAGAAGCUAAUUUUACAGAUGCUUUCAUGAAUGGCAGCGAGGAUGUUCCUACCAUCAGCAUGCCCUUAAUUCCAGCACCGUAAAAAUGCCUCGAAUUAAAUGGAAACUCGCUGCCUUAAAAAUAAUAUUUCAUCCUGGCUGGAUAAUUAUUAAUAUUAGCAUUUGAUCGCAAUAAGUGCUGGGCUCCCCCUCGUUCCUGUCUCCCCCCCCUCCCAGCGCUUCGCAUUGUCAUGUGAUUGGAGGGAGAUAACAAACCUCAAGAAAGAAAAGGAGUGAGAAGACAUUUUUAACACGGCAUGACCGCAGAUUAAUAAUGCAGUUUCAGGGAUUAAAAGUUUGAUCCUCCUGCCCACGUGAUGCUGUGCAAGCUGUCCCUGAUACAGAGCUAGCCUGAGAUCUGUGCGUGUCUUGAGACAUCCAAAUACAGCAGAUCAGCUAUCCUGCCCCAAACACUGCUCCUAUCAGCUGUGGAUCAGAGGGGAGAGAGCUUCUGGAACCAGGGAGCCAUUCAAACAAAUGGCCUGGUUCAGGCACGCGAAGGAGGAGAACUAGAAGAUCUUGGCUUGGAGUGAGUUUUGCAAGGAGCAGGAGAGCUGUGAAUUGUUAAAUUCCAUCCCGCAGGACAAGCACAUGUGAGAGAGUAACUCUGCAGUGCAGAAAUUGUCUUCACCUGCCUGCCUGAUGCUUUCUCCUCUCUGAAAGACCGACUUGUCGAAAGCAUCACUUAAUAACAACACGAGGAGCAGCUUUUCUGCUCCCUUGGAACUUGGCAGGAGUAUAAAUACACAGUGAGGGAAAAGAGGAAUCGAAAACUUGACAAUAGGAAAGGGAAAUACAAUGGCAUGAAGCGGCCUGCAUCCCCUCAUAUUUUAAUUUCCACCAAUGCCCCUGGCAGAGCUGGGCACAGCAAACCUCCUCGAGAUUGAUAUGCAAAGCGUGCGAGCUCCUUGCAAUAGCUGCACCAGAGAACACGCCCAGGUGUUCUACACCUCGCACACACAUCACCCCCAAGGUUUGAGAUUCAAAUCACCUGUCCUCCGUCUCUAAUAAGAAUGAAAUAUAGUAGGGGAAGUUUGAAUACAGCGGCUUGACAGAGCACGUCGCGUCUCACACCUCACACAUGAAAAAACCCGACGAGUGCACGAUCAAAAAGCAGCCACUCGUUUCCGUGGCACGAGAUUUUUCUGUUUCAAAGGGCAAAAACGUGUGGUGGGAGACAAGGGGAGCCUGAACCUUAAACUCCUGUGGCCCCUGAGAGUACAGCGUGAGGCCAGAUCAGAACUCCCUGCUAUGAGGAAGAUAUUCAGACGUUUUUAUGAGACUCACGGAUCUUCUUUCUGCUUUCAAGUGUGCAGGACAUAAGCAAAGCACAAGAAGCAGCGCUGCACUUCAAGUGGUCCUUCCCUCACGAAAAAGUUGCCAGAGCAGAACACCACCCUGGGGUGGAAGUUGUUGAUCUUGUCCUCUUAAGGGUUUGCCAGGGUUUCCAUUGUAAGCCUAAGCCAUCCCAGCCUAAGAUCCACAUCCUACAAAGAGUUUCUGGAGAAGCAGUGUGUCAGCCGGGUAGAUGACCACAUCUCCACAGAGCUGACAGGCCUGGUAGCUUUUUCAGCCUGUCCUGGGCCCAGAUUCUGGGAUGGAAAGUGUGUAGGCUUUGCCUCCGUGUUACAAAGCAGCCCACAACAGACAUCUGAUAAGCAGCUCCAAGUGAGAUGCAAACAAAGGACAGGGACUGGCAUUAAGGAACCACCACCCACAACAGGUUAGUUUGUUUCUGCUUGAAUGGCUUCCACUAUUGACACAAGGAUGGACAUUACCAGUUCAAGCCCUGCAGGAAGCUGUGCCCCUCCCUUAGCUGAAGGGUUAAAACUGACUCAAAAAGGUACAUUACAGCUCCAGGUGUCAGACUCAGAAAUAUUUGUAAAGCCAGAGACAGCAACUACUUCAAAAAUUGCCCCCACUUCCAAUUGGGAUGCUUUAAGAGGGUGCCAGAAGCCAAAUUCCAGGCAGCCUCAGGGAAAAGCCUCCAUGAAGGUACAUCAAGUAAGUCUCCAAAACUGCUACCUCAACAGGUGGUUGGUUUCUCUGGAGAGGCACCAGAGACUCUGGGGGGCCCUCUUCCUCCUGAGCUUGUCCUUCCUGAGAUCAGGGUGGUGGUAGAGGAAGACAGAAGAGGAAAACUUAAUGUGCCACUGCUUGUGCCAUGAUCUGUAGAUAACAUGAGGACUUUGCUCCUCAGGACUGUCCAUCUGGCGCCAUUCCUGAGCAAUAAAAGCUCACCCACAAAGUAUUUUAAAGCAAACAGUUGCUGUAAUGAAUACCUUAAUACUCCUAAUACAAUACCACAAAUAGUAACUACUAUAAAAUACCCACCCGGUGAAGAGAACCCAAGUUCACAGCCCAGCUCCUUCGGACAGCAGGACCCACAGAGGCUGUGGGUUCAUGUCACAAAGGGGUGGCUCCUUCUACCACUCCCCAGCCAUUCCCUGUGGCUAAUCCAGGCACCCCUGAACCCUUUCCAACACCAGAGGUGCUCCAACAACCCUUGGACCUAGUGAAAAGGUGAGGUGGCCACUGGAAAUGGGAAUGUGUGCAUAGGGAUGUGGGAUCAGGCAUCAAAUGUUCGGGGGGAGGAAAGAAAAAGAAAAAAGAUUCUACAGUUUACCACUUGUUUGUUUGUUUGUUUGUGAUCUCUGCACAGAUUCUCUCCCUGCCUUCUUCAAGUUUAGAAACCAGGGCCACUGAAACAGCCCCAAGAGCCAAAUGAUGAAUCUCUGAUUCAUCAGCACCCAUCACACACAAGCACUGAUUUCAUAAGAUACCUGGAACAAAAGCUCUUUAUCAUGUAAGAUCACAAUUUGUUUACCAGGGGCAUUAUUUAACCUGAGGAAUACAGGCAGAAAUCUGAAAUUCUGUCUUAAAUUUACUUUAUUAUGAUCUAUAUUAUUGUUCUUGAAGUUCUCUUUUUAGGUGACUUUUCAGUAGGUGGGCUCGAGCAACGCAGGACGAGAUGCUCUGAGGAGAGCUGCAUCCUAAGCUCUGAAUCCCUUGAUUUGAAUUUUGAUGACCAGAUUCACCCCUUUUUUCCCCUUUUGAAGAUGUUUACUAUAUGAAUGUAAAAUAAUUACUGAAACCAGAUGUAUAUAAGUACUGUACCUAAGGAAGGCUUAGAGUGUCUCAAAGAGAAAGAGCACUGAGUGGAAUCUUGUUUUGUUUGGGUUUUAGCAUAGUAUGCCAGUUAUUUCAUGCCAUUUUAUAUCAUUUUACCCUCAUGCUUCAACCUAAAAGGAAAACAGUAUCAGUUCAUAACCUCCUCUUUCUAGUCCAAUACAGGUAAAAAUUAGGUCUCUUACUCUUUUCAAAAUUAAGUGUACCUUCCACUAGUCUUAUGUCUUCUUAUUUCAUGAAGGCAGGUGCUGUUUGCUGUGUGUGGCUAUUUCAGCGAGCUAAAUAUUUAUUGAAAGCUCAAAGCAUUCACUGGCCUCAUUUUCUCUGGUUGUUCCAUUCAGAUUAAUAAACCCCUUUCCUACUUAAAAUGAAAAGAGAAUUCAGAAACGUUGAGCGUCAAGUGAAAAAAAAAAAAAAAAAGCAGCAAGAAAAUGACUAACAGAUACCAGCACCUUGCAUAUUUAUUUUGUCCUGUCAAUUAUUUUUAAAGGAUCCCUUGCUGAUGGAAGAAGAUUUUUUAAAAAAACCCGGACUAUCAAAUAAAGACGUCCACAAACA
Molecule: long non-coding RNA, 5451 nt
Organism: Pipra filicauda (Wire-tailed manakin)
Lineage: Eukaryota; Metazoa; Chordata; Aves; Passeriformes; Pipridae
Exons: 3
Source: RefSeq, a predicted model, not a curated record